CAGCAGUCGCCGCGGUAAUACGUAGGUGGCAAGCGUUGUCCGGAAUUAUUGGGCGUAAAGGGCUCGCGGGCGGUUUCUUAAGUCUGAUGUGAAAGCCCCCGGCUCAACCGGGGAGGGUCAUUGGAAACUGGGAAACUUGAGUGCAGAAGAGGAGAGUGGAAUUCCACGUGUAGCGGUGAAAUGCGUAGAGAUGUGGAGGAACACCAGUGGCGAAGGCGACUCUCUGGUCUGUAGCUGACGCUGAGGAGCGAAAGCGUGGGGAGCGAACAGGAUUAGAUACCCCCGUAGUCCCUGUCUCUUAUAC
RNAcentral lists this ribosomal RNA (304 nucleotides) under uncultured bacterium. RNAcentral describes it as "partial 16S ribosomal RNA". It matches the Rfam family "Bacterial small subunit ribosomal RNA", at positions 509 to 807 of the family's 1533-position model. The record is from RNAcentral.